Long non-coding RNA from Gigantopelta aegis, 151 nucleotides. RefSeq lists it as uncharacterized. Lineage: Eukaryota; Metazoa; Mollusca; Gastropoda; Neomphalida; Peltospiridae. The record is from RefSeq and is a predicted model, not a curated record. The transcript is spliced from 2 exons.
AUCAGGAAUAGGACCACAGAAAUGAACGACGUUAGAAAUAGUGUCGGAGAAAUCUAUAACGUCAGGAAUAGGACCACAGAAAUGAACGACACUAGAAACGGUGUCGGAGAAAUCUAUAACGUCAGGAAUAGGACCACAGAAAUGAACAUUU